UUUGGCAAAUUUACACAAUUU
Molecule: non-coding RNA, 21 nt
Filed under: Caenorhabditis elegans
Lineage: Eukaryota; Metazoa; Nematoda; Chromadorea; Rhabditida; Rhabditidae
Source: RNAcentral